RNAcentral lists this ribosomal RNA (468 nucleotides) under uncultured bacterium. RNAcentral describes it as "partial 16S ribosomal RNA". It matches the Rfam family "Bacterial small subunit ribosomal RNA", at positions 28 to 507 of the family's 1533-position model. The record is from RNAcentral.
GACGAACGCUGGCGGCGUGCUUAACACAUGCAAGUCGAACGGAAAGGCCCUGCUUUUGUGGGGUGCUCGAGUGGCGAACGGGUGAGUAACACGUGAGUAACCUGCCCUUGACUUUGGGAUAACUUCAGGAAACUGGGGCUAAUACCGGAUAGGAGCUCCUGCUGCAUGGUGGGGGUUGGAAAGUUUCGGCGGUUGGGGAUGGACUCGCGGCUUAUCAGCUUGUUGGUGGGGUAUUGGCUUACCAAGGCUUUGACGGGUAGCCGGCCUGAGAGGGUGACCGGCCCCAUUGGGACUGAGAUACGGCCCAGACUCCUACGGGAGGCAGCGGUGGGGAAUAUUGCACAAUGGGCGGAAGCCUGAUGCAGCGACGCCGCGUGCGGGAUAACGGCCUUCGGGUUGUAAACCGCUUUCGCCUGUGACGAAGCGUGAGUGACGGUAAUGGGUAAAGAAGCACCGGCUAACUACGUG